RNAcentral lists this ribosomal RNA (370 nucleotides) under Blastocystis sp. subtype 1. RNAcentral describes it as "bacterial SSU rRNA". It matches the Rfam family "Eukaryotic small subunit ribosomal RNA", at positions 517 to 897 of the family's 1831-position model. The record is from RNAcentral. Lineage: Eukaryota; Bigyra; Opalinata; Blastocystidae.
AGAACAAUGUACAACUCUUAUCGAUAAGCCAUUGGAGGGCAAGUCUGGUGCCAGCAGCCGCGGUAAUUCCAGCUCCAAUAGCGUAUAUUAACGUUGUUGCAGUUAAAAAGCUCGUAGUUGAAGUGUGGGUGGUGCCAUCUGUGAAGCUUCGGCUUCUAAGAUGAUCACUACCCCCUUCCAGUAUCCAGUAGUGGGUAUUCAGUUACUUGCUAUUGUGUGUUGGUCAUUUACUGUGAGAAAAUUAGAGUGUUCAAAGCAGGCGUUUGCUUGAAUAGAUUAGCAUGGAAUAAUAAUUGAAGGCUUUCGUGUUCGAUUUGAUUGGUUUGUUCAUGGAAGCAAGGUUAAAAGGAACAGUUGGGGGUAUUCAUAU